CGGGGGAAACAAACAACUGUUAUUCUGUCUUGUAUCACCUUUUGGUGUUGCGUAAUUGUCCCAUAUGCAUUCCCUGUUUUUUUUAGAGCCAUCGUUCUCUUUGGCCGUGCCUCAGCCUAUCUUUCUUGUUACUGUCUACAUGUGAGCUCUCCUGGGCUUUACCGUGAAUCAUGGUCAUGCACACUGGCUCUCCUCUUUUUAUAACUUUAAAACUAUGUACAUGUG
This is a non-coding RNA of Pelobates cultripes (western spadefoot toad), 225 nucleotides long. NCBI's taxonomy places the organism in Eukaryota, Metazoa, Chordata, Amphibia, Anura, Pelobatidae. The record is from the annotation of a GenBank genome assembly.